GUCUCUCCUGUCCCUCUGUGGAUGCCAAGGAGACUCUUGUUUAUGGUGAUGGUUGUGGAGCUCUAAGAGGGUCUGCUUUCCCUCUCACGGCUGGGAGCUACCAAGCUAGAUUCAUGGGUUCUAAAAGAAGGCAGUCCCGCAGUAUAAAGGGAGAAUCAGAGAAGCAACUGAGGGUAGCAACAGUUUCACAGGACUGAGCACAGAGGGUGAUUCGGAACACUUGAAAGAAGCUGAGAUCUCGGAGCCAGGCACAUCAGUUCUCAGCCUGAAGCAGAUGUCCUAACCCAUCUGUCCAGGGGCUGCAAAACAAGCUGAGAAGCGAGGAAUGAGUACAUUUGUUUCCCACCUGUUGGAAGCAUUCUCUCUAGCUUUCUGGAUCCCAGACCCCUCUUAGAGCCCAGGGUCCUACUGGAUCUGUGUUAGUUGUGUCCACUGGCCUGCUUGUCUCAGCAUCUUUCAGGGGAGCCUCUUCUUCACCUGCAAAUACCCUGGGCAUCUCUAGAACGUGGGCACACAGUGAGUUUCCCAUCACUUAUUCUUGACUGGGCUGAAUUGGAGCCUGAUUACAGCUCUGUUUGGCACAUGAGCUGUCAACAGAGACUGUAGCCGGGAGCUCACAGUCCCUACCGGUCACCCCUUCCUCUUCCUUGUUCCUGUGAAGAAGAGACCAAAGCAUAUGUGCAGGUAGUUAAGUAAAAGAGAAUCAAAUAAAACAAAAAUAAAUGAAAAAAAAAAAAGAAAAAGAAAAGAAGAAUUUCAAGUUUUCGAAAAAGGAGGAACUCAGGACUGCUGGCAGAGAACCAAACCUGGAAAUCCAGAGAGGUUUGCCCAUCACUAAUGACCAUAUAAUAUGCUCCCAGAGGAGGGGCUGAGGGCAGCUAUUAAAAUACCGCAUCUCCCGCGCUCUACAGGAGAGGAUCCUUCUGAGACACGGGUGCCGUCUGUUCUCCCCUUGGGAGUUAAAUUUCCAAGUGAAGAUUGGAUUUGCAAGGUAAAAUGUUGGGGAAAGCAGCCGGGGAUCUUUCUUUUCCCAGCCAGGCUCUGGAAAUGCCUUGUUGUAGAUUUUAAACGUGGUGAUGGGGCCAGCUUGUUAAGUGUGCUGUUGGCUGGUUUGUUGAGUGACUGGCAGGGAGCCUCAGGGAACGGAAACUAAGUCAUUUGUGGAGUAUGAGGUGACCAAAGUAGCCAGAACUAGACUUUUGUGACGUCUUCCAUCACAACAGUUCUUUCUAAAGGUACUGGCAACUGUUUCCUUCUAGGUAGACAUGGCUCUCUACUGGAGUGCUCAGGAGGCUUUUGACAUUUUGAGUGAUCCCCGUGGAAGACGAGACACCCUAAUUUGACCGUGUCCUAUAGAUUUCAAUAGAAGACAUCAGAAACAGGGUUUUAAAAGUAGUUUUAUUAAGGCAUAAUUUAACACAGAUCACCCAUUUUAAGUGUGUAGUUCAGAGUCUGAGCAAAUGUAUAUACUGAUAACCCAUAUUGAAAUUAGAACAGGACAUUUGGAUUAUUCCAAAUAGCUUCUCUUCCCCUUUUACAAUCAAGACAGUCCUCAGGCCAAAGAAACCACAGUCCUGCCUUUGUCCUUGAUGUUGGAUUUCCUGUUCUAGAAAGCCAGACACUCAUGUGGUGGAUAGAUUUACAUGCAGAAAAAAAAAAACAUUCACAUAAGAUAAAAAUGAAAUAUUUCUAUACUAAGCCUAUCUAAGCAUCCAUAAACAAGGUAAUGGAUAAAAACAAUGUAGUAAAUUUGCACCAUAGGUCACUAUACAGCAAUGGUAAUGAGUGCUAUAUAACAUGUUACAGACACAGCAUGGAUAGUUCAUAAGUGGCAUAUUGAAUAAAAGCUAGACAUAAAAAGAAUAUUAGUGAAUGAUCCAUUAGUAUGUGUUUAUAUGAAGUUGAUAGUGGCUGCCUGUCCUUGGUAUGGUGAUUAGAGUUGAAUGCAGUGGGAACAUCUGUGGAGCUGGUCAAGUUCUGUUUCCUCAUCUGCUUACU
This is a non-coding RNA of Peromyscus maniculatus bairdii (prairie deer mouse), 1998 nucleotides long. Lineage: Eukaryota; Metazoa; Chordata; Mammalia; Rodentia; Cricetidae. The record is from RefSeq and is a predicted model, not a curated record.